UACGUAGGCAGCGAGCGUUGUUCGGAAUUACUGGGCGUAAAGAGUGUGUAGGCGGUGCUCCCAGUCUGUUGUGAAAUCUCCCGGCUUAACUGGGAGGGUGCAGCGGAAACUAGAGUGCUAGAGGGUGGGAGAGGUAAGCGGAAUUCCUGGUGUAACGGUGAAAUGCGUAGAUAUCAGGAGGAACACCUGUGGUGUAGACAGCUUACUGGACCACUUCUGACGCUGAGACACGAAAGCGUGGGUAGCAAACAGG
RNAcentral lists this ribosomal RNA (253 nucleotides) under uncultured bacterium. RNAcentral's name for it is "partial 16S ribosomal RNA". It matches the Rfam family "Bacterial small subunit ribosomal RNA", at positions 524 to 776 of the family's 1533-position model. The record is from RNAcentral.